Molecule: non-coding RNA, 222 nt
Organism: Vicia faba (fava bean)
Lineage: Eukaryota; Viridiplantae; Streptophyta; Magnoliopsida; Fabales; Fabaceae
Source: the annotation of a GenBank genome assembly
AUGCAGCGGACGGCACCACCUGCAGAUGAAAAACAACGGGAGAAAUCAAACCCCAAACGACAUCAAACCCAGAAAACCCCCGAUCAUGUUAUGAUCUCGAACCCUAACCCCCAAUUUCUUCAGAAAUUCCCCAAAAUAAGAAGCAACAUCGUCACGAUUAUCAAAGUUUGCAGGCACGAUGAGGACGACAGAGGAUUAAGAAAUCUAGGGUUUCACUUUUGA